This 494-nucleotide ribosomal RNA is filed under the name uncultured bacterium. RNAcentral's name for it is "partial 16S ribosomal RNA". It matches the Rfam family "Bacterial small subunit ribosomal RNA", at positions 28 to 507 of the family's 1533-position model. The record is from RNAcentral.
GACGAACGCUGGCGGCGUGCUUAACACAUGCAAGUCGAACGGUGAAGCGCCUUCUUUUUUGGUGGGUGUGGAUGCGUGGCGAACGGGUGAGUAACACGUGAGUAACCUGCCCCCUUCUUCUGGAUAACCGCAUGAAAGUGUGGCCAAUACGGGAUAUUCUGGGUCUGUCGCAUGAUGGGUCUGGUUCAGAUAUUGUUUCGGUGGGGGAUGGGCUCGCGGCGUAUCAGCGUGUUGGGGGGGUGAUGGCCUACCAGGGCGGUGACGGGUAGCCGGCCUGAGAGGGUGGGCGGUCACACGGGGACUGAGGCACAGCCGGGACUCGUAAGAGGGCCAGCAGUGGGGAGUAGUGCACAAUGGGGGAAAGUCUGAUGCAGCGACGCCGCGUGAGGGAUGGAGGCCGUGGGGUUGUGAACGUCUUUCGCGAGUGAAGCAGGCCUGCCUCGUUUGUGGGUGGGUUGACGGUAGCUGGAGAAGAAGCGCCGGCUAACUACGUG